CCCCUCUGCUCCCCUCCCCCUGCCCCUUCUUACUCUGCAUGUGGUCAAUCUGCCAGCUAAGUGCCCUGGGUUUAUUUUUUUGUUUCUUUUUUUUGUUUUUUUAAUCUUUAAAAAGACUCUUCUUCCAAAGCGGUGCCUAAAAUUUAACCAAAAAGACUAGACUAAUAUAUUAAUAUAUAUUUGCUGUUCUGACAGAGUUUGUAUAUUGAGGGGAGCAAGGUGGGCCCUUAUCUCUCUGCCUGCCUUGCCACCCACCUGUAGGACUCUCCUGACCAUCCAUGCUGGCAGCCACUUCACCAUAGCCUGAUGCCUGGGACCUGGUCUGAGCCAGCUCUCACUCUCCCCAAACUCUGGGCCUCUUGGCUCUCUCACUUCUUGCCUGCUGCCCCAGCCUUGCUCCCUCCUUUUCCUUCUUGGGUGCCUCCAUUCUGCAGGAGGAGAACUGGGCCAAGCCACAGCUUCUGUCCCUUUUUCACUGCCCUAAGCAACUUGUCCUCCACCUAGCCUCAUGUCACAUGUGGUUCCAUACCAAGGGCCCUGCCUGGACUUCCAGCCUCUUCUCUGCAGCCGCUGCCUGGACCUUCCUCCCUGUCCCUGGGGUCAGGUGAGGGGGCAGCUCACCUCUCCAGGGGCCUCUCAGCCCCUUCCUGAUGCCCAGGACCUCAACGUCAAGAUGCCACCAGGAUGGGACAGGAGCCACAGUGCAUGUUGGACUUACUCCUCUGCCUGCUCUCCUGCCUGCCUCUCAGCCCUACUCUCCCACCCUACUGUGGGCUCCACCUGUUUGGCUUUCUGUUGGGGGCUGGACUUGUGUGUGGGGAGGGAGGAGAAGGCAAUGGCGAUGGCAGGGCACAGAGUCAGCUUUUUGGUGUGUCUGGGAAAUGCCCUGGCUCAAGUGGGAUAGGGAGAAACCUCGUGGAGCAGUGUCAGGCAGACGGAGCUGGAUGCUGGGCCAGGGAGACGAAGCCUGCAGGCCCGCAGUUAUGGGUGGGAUCAAGGGAAAGGGCCUCUUUGGCCACUCCUCAAGUCCACAGGAAGGAUUGAUAAACUCUUUCUACCCUUCACUUCCUCUCCUCCUCCUACCUGGAGGCUUGGAGAUAACCUAUUCUCCUUCUGUGUCAGCUGUCUCUCUCCAGCCUGCCCAGAGAAGCCCCUUCCCCAUGGGAAGACGAGAACUGGGGCUCCAACAUCAACCCACCAGGGCCAGGCCCAGGCUCCCGGGAGGCUCCUGUGCUGGGCCAUCCCACCCAGCAUGAUCCAGUGUUCACCCGGCCCCUCCUCCCUCCCGUGGAGCCUGCAGCCCUGUGA
Molecule: long non-coding RNA, 1308 nt
Filed under: Monodelphis domestica (gray short-tailed opossum)
Lineage: Eukaryota; Metazoa; Chordata; Mammalia; Didelphimorphia; Didelphidae
Description: lncRNA (ENSMODG00000038364.1)
Source: RNAcentral